AUUAUCUUAGCUCAAUAACAACUUGAUCUCAACUUCUAAUUUUUAAUGAGGUAGUUGUGUGUCGUGAUACAUUAGCACAAGUACUGUCUUUGAGUUGCUGCAUCCAUGGUGAUGUUGUUUCCAUGAAGUGGAGUCUUAUCAUUUAUAAUCUAAUAGGCAUUGAGAUUGAAACUACUUUUUCCAGAAAACACUUUUAGAUGUUAUUGAACAAAGUAGUCUGAAAUUUUUAUUUAGCUGUUUUUCAAUUUUUAUGAUAGCAACAUGUCAAAAUCUACCCUUAAAACAAAUUUUAGUUGCAUUUAAUCAACAUUUCAAAUUGUUGCUUUUCUCGACAGCAACCACAAGGAUGCCAAACAGAAUCUCAGUCCUUGAUAACACUAUCCUACUUACAUAUAUUCAUUUGUUCAUUCAUUUAUGUUGGUGCGAUGGCUCAUCAGUGAGUUCAAGAAGCUUGUAUUCACAAUACCUUUGUUCUUGAAAUACUGCUGCCUAUAUUUUUAGGUUGUCCCUAAUGGUUGGUUGGUUAGGAAUCUGGGAAGUGCCCAAUCAUAUAUUGGCUAUUGGGCUUGAACAGAUAGGUUCUUUAUUCUCUUUGUUCUGCUUUGUCUUAGCAGUGUUCAUAUUGGUUCUGUUCAAGAUCACAAUUGAUGAAUUCAUAUCCUGGUCUGGUGGAGAUGUAAUUUUGCUUCACAUCAUUCCAUGUUUGAUGAAUAACUUUCGUUGGCUUGACUGAUCACUGAUCUUUCUGUAACUUAAGUUCCGUUGGUCACAUUUUUAUAUGCUGAAGAUUCAGCAUCACAUCACCUUGUACUCACCAAUGACCAAUCUUAGUUCAUAUUGCAUCUUGACAUUUUGAUCUUAUGAUCUGUGCACUUGAGAAAUUUUUCCUUACUUUUGUUUGCUUGUCUUGGAUUGUAUACAUUCAAGCUGAUUUGAUCCUACUUGCUUUUGCUUCAAUUCACUUGUUAACCCUGGCUUUAAUUAUCACUUCUUUCAAAAAGUAAUUGACCAUUUGACUUUUGAGAUUUACUAGUUCGAUCUGCUUCAUAGCUGUUUCCAUGUCCAUACUCAUCACUGUCACCAAAAUGGGCACCUCACCUCGUGGAAGCCACCUUUCUUCGCAUGAAUAUUAAUCAGUCCUUUAACUUCAUGUUUUUUUUAUAUGGUGAUGGUCUUGGAAUGGUUAUGGUUAUUGCCUCUAUUAAUAUUGCUUUUUGGUCCUUUAGGGUUGGGAGACAAGUGGUUAAUAUUCCCUCAUUUAUGGUGAGGGUGGACUC
RNAcentral lists this unclassified non-coding RNA (1277 nucleotides) under Hevea brasiliensis (rubber tree). Lineage: Eukaryota; Viridiplantae; Streptophyta; Magnoliopsida; Malpighiales; Euphorbiaceae. The record is from RNAcentral.